UUCCUAUCCCCUGAAAUGAUCUUUCAAACCCAGGUUCAAGUGCAAACCAAGUAGUGCUCUGUGACUGGGUUCAAGAACAUCAUAAGCUGACAACCAGACAGAAGCAGGGACUCAAGACAAUCUAUGGAAAGUCUUGCGAUGUCUGCCAGAUCCAUUCCUGUACCUCAAGCAGACACUGCAAGAAACCCAAGGAGAACCGAGCAACCACCUGUCUGUAUGAUGCAUCUCAAGUCCACAUAGGGGACGCCUACAGCCCUUAUGACUGCAUCGCAUCUCACUCACGUUGCACCAUGCGGCAUGGACACAAGUGCAAGUGGCAGAAGAACAAUGACUACCAUAAGUGUGUCAAACACCAGCUUCCUUGAAUAGAGGGACACUGAUGUACCCCUGGCCCUGGUAGGAGGGCAACUCCUGUACCCAUAUUCCAAGAGUAUGAUAUUUCAAAGAGUUUACCCAAGGACUUUAUCAAAUUUGCCAACAAGUUUGUAUUUCUUUAUUCUUCAGUUCAACUAAAUGAUACAAAGUUUAUCACAGAAAUACAUAUCAAUUAGUCUAAAUAGAGAAUGAAUAUAUAUUAUCUCCGUAAUUAAAGAAUUUAUGCUGUGAAUAUUGUAAGACAUAGUAAAAUGAUAUACUGGUAACCAUCAAAGUGGAGUGUAUAGUACAAGAUACUAUGAAAAUGCUACAAUGUAGAGAGUGGCCAAAUAGUCAUCUUCCUGGUCAUUUUCUGGAAAUAUUUGAAUCCUAUAUGAUGUUUUUUUGUACAAAUAAAUAUACUAAGGCAUAUUUAACAACAUUUGCAAUGCUAACUUAGUUACUUUCCUAGUAAUUUACUUUUGAAAUGUUUCUUAAACCUGUUUGUUAAAGAUGCGUUAGAGUGAGCUCAGGCGAGACGAAUCCGUCUCCCUUUUUCUUGGGCAUAUUAUAUGCUAUUGCAGGGAUAACUGCUAUGAAACCACCAAAGUACAACCAUCACUAUCAAUCAAGUAUAUAAAUAAACUUACAAAUAUACCCCUAAAAAUCAUCCAUGAAUAUUAAAAAAUUUCUUCUUAUUUGUCUUUCACUUUCAGAGAAUAAAACUUUCCACAAAACUGCACUAUGCAUCAAUAAAACCAGUUUCAGGCUCAUUUUAAUUCCCACUCCCUGAUAAAAUGCCAGCUUUAUGUUUUUUAAACAAAUUUGUGAGGCUAACCACCAAAUAUAUCAAUAAAGUUGAAUAAUCAUUCCUCUAGUUCCUCAAAUUUUCUAUAUUUCACUGACAUUCUUAUUAGAAAAAGUAUAAAUCCAGGUGUGUAAUAACAUAUCUCUAUCUUAAUAAAUCAUAUAAAUAAUAUGUGAAUGUAUAUAUUUCAUGUGAUUUAUAUCGUACGUUUGUUUGCUUUGAGCUAAGAUGUACAAAUAUGUUACCCAUAAAUCAUGGCAUAAUGUCAAAUGCCCACUUUUGUGAUUUGAUGAGCUCUGAAGCUGUAGCUUGCUUUCAAGUUGAGUGGGUUUUUAAUGCAGUUAAUGAAUUGAGUUGUACAUUGUAUCAAGUCUGGAGUAGGUAAACUAAUCCAUGGAAAAAGAGGGGAGGAUUAGCGCAUCUUCUUCAGAUUAUAUUUUAAAAAAAAAAUUAAAUACGAUUUUGUUGGUGAUGGGAAAAACCCAUUCCACCUGAACUGCAGGCUAUAGAGCUUGUAAAUAAUGCUCCAUUUUAACAUCAAGGAAGCAGGUGGGUGUUACAAAAGUCAAAAUUGAAGUUGAAUAUGAUGUGAUGCAGAUUAGAUUGAUUUUGUAAAGUAUCAAGUAGCUUGUAGUGUGAACCAGUACAACUGAAAUGGUUUUAUGCGUAGCAUACAAAUACAUAUUGACAUGUUUGGGGUAUCUUACAAUACUUAAACUACAUGACUGACUUUUGUAUUACAUUGUUUACCAAAUAUUCAUUGUUAUUAGAGCUUCAGUCUGUACAUAUAUCCAACACAGAUACAUCUAUCAAAUGAUUCCAUGGUCAUGACCAAAUUGUUGAUAACUUUUAACUGUUCCGUGCACUUUUAUGCCUGUCAAGUACAAAAAGAAAAUACUUUGAAGACAUACAAAAUAUCCAGUGUAUAUCUGAAAAGUUGACUUUCAGUGCAUAUGUGCAUUUACUUCAGAUACCAGGGCUAGAAGAUUGCUACAGAUCCAUAGGCAAACUUUGAUAUCUGAAAGGAUAGAAAUAUGGUUGAAUCACAAAGUAUACACUAUAUAUUGGUUAGGAAGUAAGAAUAAUAUCCGAUGCUUACUACAAAGUAGUAAACAGACCUAUGUUUGUUAUGUUCACUGUAAAAAGGUGAUUUCUUUCAAAGAUCAAUGAAGGAAAAAUAUGACUUUACAAAUUAUAUCUGGCUUGGUUAAAAAGCUAGAAUUUGUUUUUUCUAUCUUUGUGACACCACAUGCCAUUGAUGAAUUCAAUAGAAUAAUAAUUAUUUUUCACUCAAAAUGUAACAAAAAUAUGCAGUAUCCUAGUUAUGUAAUGUUUUUCCAUGUUUGUAAUGCUGGCUUUGUUUACACUAUCUCAUUUUCAACCAAACUAUGUAGAGGAUGUUACUGACAUGUGUGAAUGUUGACAGCUGGAUAGCUCAGAUAUUGAUGUUCAUUGAUAUAUAUUGAUAUUGUCAAUUAAAGUUAUAGUAAAUAUACAAA
Molecule: long non-coding RNA, 2661 nt
Organism: Strongylocentrotus purpuratus (purple sea urchin)
Lineage: Eukaryota; Metazoa; Echinodermata; Echinoidea; Camarodonta; Strongylocentrotidae
Exons: 2
Source: RefSeq, a predicted model, not a curated record